This is a non-coding RNA of Parelaphostrongylus tenuis, 74 nucleotides long. Lineage: Eukaryota; Metazoa; Nematoda; Chromadorea; Rhabditida; Metastrongylidae. The record is from the annotation of a GenBank genome assembly.
GCCUCGGUGAUGCAGUGGUAUCAGCACGCGUCCCAGGUAUGGACGAGAUGCGGGUUCAAUUCUCGCCUGAGGUC